This is a long non-coding RNA of Melanotaenia boesemani (Boeseman's rainbowfish), 360 nucleotides long. RefSeq lists it as uncharacterized. Lineage: Eukaryota; Metazoa; Chordata; Actinopteri; Atheriniformes; Melanotaeniidae. The transcript has 3 exons. The record is from RefSeq and is a predicted model, not a curated record.
GAUGAAGACUCAGCAGGAGAAGGCACAUCACAAGCUCCAGACAGGGAUAAAUAUAGAGGGCUACUCGAGGAAACUCCCUGCACUUUAAAUGGUAUGACUAACCAACAACAUGUCUAGUGGUAUCUAUUACAUGUUUAACCUAUCACUGCUUGUGCAUUUUAUGUUCACUUAUCUCUUUACACAGAUGGAGAUUCGGCAAGAGAAUGCACAUCGCAAGGGAGGGAGAAAACCAGGGAUCCUCUUCAGGAACAUCUUGGAUCCUCAAAUGGUGUGACCAGCAUGCCUAGUGAUGAUUAUUACAGGAACACAGAACUAAAUGUAGUGUAAUAUUUUGAGAUAGCUCACAUACACAUAGUUAAG